UCAAAAAGGUAACAAACCUGGGACACACC
Molecule: non-coding RNA, 29 nt
Filed under: Mus musculus (house mouse)
Lineage: Eukaryota; Metazoa; Chordata; Mammalia; Rodentia; Muridae
Source: RNAcentral